GAAAUGCGAUAAGUAGUGUGAAUUGCAGAAUUCAGUGAAUCAUCGAAUCUUUGAACGCACAUUGCGCCCCUUGGUAUUCCAUGGGGCAUGCCUGUUCGAGCGUCAUCUACACCCUCAAGCUCUGCUUGGUGUUGGACGUCUUUGUCCCGCCUCCGCGCGCGGACUCGCCCCAAAUUCAUUGGCAGCGGUCCUUGCCUCCUCUCGCGCAGCACAUUGCGCUUCUCGAGGUGUUGCGGCCCGCGUCCAGAAAGCAAUCGUUACCGUCUUUGACCUCGGAUCAGGUAGGGAUACCCGCUGAACUUAAGC
This 306-nucleotide unclassified non-coding RNA is filed under the name plant metagenome. RNAcentral's name for it is "partial contains 5.8S ribosomal RNA, internal transcribed spacer 2, and large subunit ribosomal RNA". The stretch from base 1 to 105 matches the Rfam family "5.8S ribosomal RNA", at positions 50 to 154 of the family's 154-position model. The record is from RNAcentral.